CUUCUAAUGAUGAUAACCUUGUCCAGUUCUGCUACUGAAGGGACAGCGAUGACAUUUUAUGGUGCUGAGGAAG
Small nucleolar RNA from Lepidothrix coronata (blue-crowned manakin), 73 nucleotides. The record is from Ensembl. NCBI's taxonomy places the organism in Eukaryota, Metazoa, Chordata, Aves, Passeriformes, Pipridae.